Molecule: long non-coding RNA, 674 nt
Organism: Tupaia belangeri chinensis (Chinese tree shrew)
Lineage: Eukaryota; Metazoa; Chordata; Mammalia; Scandentia; Tupaiidae
Exons: 4
Source: RefSeq, a predicted model, not a curated record
CAAGGCCAGAAAAUGGGAAAGACGGGGGUUCCAGGGACACUACUGCUGUGUUUUGGGAAAAGUCACAAAUAAACUGCCCAUUAAUGAGCCUGGCAUUAAACCACGCCAUAUAAGCCAGGUGCCCACCGGAGUUUGGCACCACCCUGCCUGUGGAUUAGCGCUUCCUAUUUUGGGGAAUGAAACACCUGGAGGGCAAGAUUAUGACCUGUGCAGUAAUAAGUUAUGCCUAUCAGUUCCUAGAGCUGUAACUAUGGAAGAAUGAUCAGAGAUGGAAGGUUGCUGGAUCUGACGAUGGAGGAAGGAACCAUGAACUGGGAGAUGUGGAUGGCCCCUAGAAGCUGGAAAAGUGAAGAAAAGCGAAGGCUUCCUUAGAGCCUCCAGGAAGGAGUACAGCCUUACUGUACUUAAAUUUAGUCCCUCUACACCUGUGUCAGACUUGCAAAACUGUAAGGUAUCACAUGGAAAAUCCAGCCCUACUACACACAAGUUUAUUGAGUGUCUACCUUAUGAGAAGUCUUGCCUGAGUCUCAGAAAAUGUAAAGAUGAGUAAGACACCAAAUUGUUCAUAAUGCUCAAGAUAGGCCCAUAAUUUUAAAAAUGAAGACAUGUACUAAUAGACUAUAGAGAUGAACGACAUAUGCUAAUAGUCUAUAGAAAUAAAAGGUAACAGUGUG